GCCAGGCAUGGUGGUGCAUGCCUGUAAUCCCAGCUACUCGGGAGGCUAAGACAGGAAAAUCACUUGAACCCAGGGGGGCAGAGGUUACAGUGAGCUGAGAUCGUGCCACUGCACUGCAGCCUGGACAACAGAGGGAGACUCUGUCUCUAAAUAAAUAAAUUAAUUUUUUUUUAGAAAAGGCUGCAGUGAGCCUUGGUCACAUCAGUGCACUCCAGCCUGGUUGACAAAGGAGACCCUGUCUCA
This is an unclassified non-coding RNA of Macaca nemestrina (pig-tailed macaque), 243 nucleotides long. It matches the Rfam family "Metazoan signal recognition particle RNA". From Rfam's summary of the family: The signal recognition particle (SRP) is a universally conserved ribonucleoprotein. It is involved in the co-translational targeting of proteins to membranes. The eukaryotic SRP consists of a 300-nucleotide 7S RNA and six proteins: SRPs 72, 68, 54, 19, 14, and 9. The record is from Ensembl. NCBI's taxonomy places the organism in Eukaryota, Metazoa, Chordata, Mammalia, Primates, Cercopithecidae.